CCUACGGGCGGCAGCAGUGAGGAAUAUUGGUCAAUGGCCGAGAGGCUGAACCAGCCAAGUCGCGUGAGGGAAGACUGCCCUACGGGUUGUAAACCUCUUUUGUCGGGGAGUAAAGUGAGUCACGUGUGACUUUUUGAGUGUACCUUAAGAAAAAGCAUCGGCUAACUCCGUGCCAGCAGCCGCGGUAAUACGGAGGAUGCGAGCGUUAUCCGGAUUUAUUGGGUUUAAAGGGUGGGUAGGCGGGUGGUGAAUUCAGCCGUCAAAAUUUGGGGCUCAACCCCAUACUUGCGAUUGAUACUGCAUGCCUUGAGUACACGUGAGGUAUGCGGAAUGCGUGGUGUAGCGGUGAAAUGCAUAGAUAUCACGAAGAACUCCGAUUGCGAAGGCAGCUUACCAACGCGCAACUGACACUCAUGCACGAAAGUGUGGGUAUCGAACAGGAUUAGAUACCCCAGUAGUC
This 460-nucleotide ribosomal RNA is filed under the name uncultured bacterium. Its description in RNAcentral is "partial 16S ribosomal RNA". It matches the Rfam family "Bacterial small subunit ribosomal RNA", at positions 338 to 795 of the family's 1533-position model. The record is from RNAcentral.